Molecule: long non-coding RNA, 332 nt
Filed under: Ananas comosus (pineapple)
Lineage: Eukaryota; Viridiplantae; Streptophyta; Magnoliopsida; Poales; Bromeliaceae
Description: long non-coding RNA (ACOM_LNC017017)
Source: RNAcentral
CUAGAAGGCCGCCCAUGUUUCUCCUCAAAAUUAUACCGUCUGCAGCCAAUAUAAUUUUCUUAGUCGAAACAGACACUCCUUCAAUCACUCACUCCACUCAAGAAGGAGUUAAAACAAUUCAAUCGCUGACUUUCGCGAUAAAUCACGCCUCACGCCUCUCGCGUCUUCCCUUUCUAAGGUUUGCCAAGCUUAAGGUUUCCUAGGUCCCAACGACCUAAUACUAAACUCUGAUACCAACUUAAUCUGUCACGCCAGGCACGCCAACAGACCUGCCGUAUACAAAAAAAUUUACCAGGCAUACGAAGUGAUAGCUGUACCUUAAACAAAUCCAA